GUCAAAGCGUUCAUUAAAGUCGAGUUGGCUUAGGGAUACGUUCGUUGGGUAGGGGAGCGUUCUGUAAGCCUGUGAAGGUGUGUCGUGAGGCAUGCUGGAGGUAUCAGAAGUGCGAAUGCUGACAUAAGUAACGAUAAAGCGGGUGAAAAGCCCGCUCGCCGGAAGACCAAGGGUUCCUGUCCAACGUUAAUCGGGGCAGGGUGAGUCGACCCCUAAGGCGAGGCCGAAAGGCGUAGUCGAUGGGAAACGGGUUAAUAUUCCCGUACUUGGUGUUACUGCGAAGGGGGGACGGAGAAGGCUAUGUUGGCCGGGCGACGGUUGUCCCGGUUUAAGCGUGUAGGUGUGUGUUCCAGGUAAAUCCGGUUCACUUUAACACUGAGGCGUGACGACGAGGCACUACGGUGCUGAAGCAACAAAU
Molecule: ribosomal RNA, 418 nt
Filed under: Salmonella enterica
Lineage: Bacteria; Pseudomonadati; Pseudomonadota; Gammaproteobacteria; Enterobacterales; Enterobacteriaceae
Also listed under: 3 other names
Description: partial 23S ribosomal RNA
Rfam family: Bacterial large subunit ribosomal RNA
Source: RNAcentral